This 422-nucleotide ribosomal RNA is filed under the name uncultured bacterium. RNAcentral's name for it is "partial 16S ribosomal RNA". It matches the Rfam family "Bacterial small subunit ribosomal RNA", at positions 361 to 774 of the family's 1533-position model. The record is from RNAcentral.
AUCUUCCGCAAUGGACGAAAGUCUGACGGAGCAACGCCGCGUGAGUGAUGAAGGUCUUCGGAUCGUAAAACUCUGUUGUUAGGGAAGAACAAGAAUCGUUCGAAUAGGGCGGUACCUUGACGAUACCUCACCAGAAACCCACGGCAACACACGUGCGCGCACCAGCGGUAAUACGUAGGUGGCAAGCUUUAUCCGGAAGUAUUGGGCAUAAAGGGCGCGCAGGCGUUUUCUUAAGUCUGAUGUGAAAGCCAACGGCUCAACCGUGGAGGGUCAUUGGAAACUGGGAAGCUUGAGUGCAGAAGAGGAGAGUGGAAUUCCAUGUGUAGCGGUGAAAUGCGUAGAGAUAUGGAGGAACACCAGUGGCGAAGGCGACUCUCUGGUCUGCAACUGACGCUGAGGCGCGAAAGCGUGGGGAGCGAACA